AUGAGGUCCCUGAGGACAGAGGGCGAGUGUUCACUGCAUCAAGCCCGAGCAGCAGCCUGCCAUAGCCCACGAGAUGCUUCCCUUCCCACGUGCAGUGAAGGUUCCAUGAGGGCUGGGUCUAACUCGGCCGGGUUUACUGCUGAAUUAAUGAGAUGGAGCUCCAGGGCCUGGCUCGUCGUCGUGACUCGUCUACACGUGCUUCGGGAAGAAAUGACUAGUGUCCCCAGCAGGAGAGACGAGCCACAGACAGGUGAGGGGACGCCUGUUUAUCUGGGAUAGAGGGUAAGAAGGCAAGAGCAGCAUACUGUACUCACUCCCAGAGUGGGGUCCCUAGAAGGGCAGCGCCGCCUUCACCUGUGAAUUCAUUAGAAAUGCAAAUUCUUUUUUUUUUUUUUUAAGAUUUAUUUUUUUACUUGACACAGAGAGAGAGCCCAAGCAGGGGGAGCAGCAGGCAGAGGGAGAGGGAGAAGCAGGCGCCCCUCGGAGCAGGGAGCCCGAUGCAGGGCUCUAUCCCAGGACCCUGGGAUCAUGACCUGAGCCAAAGGCAGCCGCUUAACCAACUGAGCCACCCAGGUGCCCCAAAAAUGCAAAUUCUUUAGGCAUCCCAAACCUAGUGAAUCAGAACCCCUGGGGAUAGGACCCCGCAGUCUGGGUGUGAACAAACCUGGUGAUUUUCACACACACUUAAGUGUGAGGACUAGGAUAGCGAAAGGUACGUACAGAGACACGAGUCCAUGUGCCAGGAGUGAGGAGGGCAGCUAUUAAAUUGAACCAAGCAGAUUUGAGACAAGAGGAUGCAAAAUGCAUGAUGCGGACAAACGACAUUUUAUUAUGCUCAGGCUGAAGACGUGAAUGUAGCUUUGAGGGCAAUGUGGGCUGUCCCGUGCCACCUAGCAGCCAGACAAAAACAACUGUCCGGUGUCCUGAACAUGGUGACUGUGUCCAAAGCACAGAACAUACGCGGUAAAACUGGAGUGAGGUGUCUGUUUGGUUUGGGGGAUAGUCAGAAUUAUUUCUGUUCAUCAAUACUAAACGUGAAAACUUACCACUGACAAAUACCAAGUAAACCCUGUCAUCUCCCCUAGCCUUUCCAUCACACCCGCCCAACCCCUCAAAUGCUUGUGGCGGUUGAUGGGAAAGAACUAAAAUAACUUCAAAGUCCUGGAAUUUGGGGAGAUUGGUAUUACACCUUCACAAAGACAAUCAUUUCACACAUAUGAAAUUCUCCUUCAGAGGGACUUCCAGACCCAGGGAAGGAGUGGAGAGAGAAAUUGGCUGG
Molecule: long non-coding RNA, 1279 nt
Filed under: Ursus maritimus (polar bear)
Lineage: Eukaryota; Metazoa; Chordata; Mammalia; Carnivora; Ursidae
Description: lncRNA (ENSUMAG00000003201.1)
Source: RNAcentral